UCGAGAAUUUUUCUCAAUGGGCGAAAGCCUGAAGGAGCGACGCCGCGUGGGGGAUGAAGGGCUUCGGCUCGUAAACCCCUGUCAUUUGUGAACAAUGGAAGGCAGUUAAAAGCUGUUUUCUUGAUAGUAGCAGAAGAGGAAGGGACGGCUAACUCUGUGCCAGCAGCCGCGGUAAUACAGAGGUCCCAAGCGUUGUUCGGAUUCACUGGGCGUAAAGGGUGCGUAGGCGGCAUGAUAAGUUUGUUGUGAAAUCUCCAAGCUUAACUUGGAAAAUGCAAUGAAUACUGUCGUGCUAGAGUUUUGUAGGGGGGACUGGAAUUCUCGGUGUAGCAGUGAAAUGCGUAGAUAUCGAGAGGAACACCAGUGGCGAAGGCGAGUCCCUAGACAAAUACUGACGCUG
Molecule: ribosomal RNA, 400 nt
Filed under: uncultured bacterium
Lineage: Bacteria
Description: bacterial SSU rRNA
Rfam family: Bacterial small subunit ribosomal RNA
Source: RNAcentral